CAAUAGCGUAUAUUAAAGUUGUUGCAGUUAAAAAGCUCGUAGUUGGAUUUCUGCUGAGGACGAUCGGUCCGCCCACUGGGUGAGUAUCUGGCUCGGCCUUGGCAUCUUCUUGGAGAACGUUGCUGCACUUGACUGUGUGGCGCGGUAUCCAGGACUUUUACUUUGAGGAAAUUAGAGUGUUUCAAGCAGGCGCACGCCUUGAAUACAUUAGCAUGGAAUAAUGAGAUAGGACCUUGGUUCUAUUUUGUUGGUUUCUAGGGCUGAGGUAAUGAUUAAUAGGGAUAGUUGGGGGCAUUCGUAUUUAACUGUCAGAGGUGAAAUUCUUGGAUUUGUUAAAGAUGGACUACUGCGAAAGCAUUUGCCAAGGAUGUUUUCAUUGA
Molecule: ribosomal RNA, 380 nt
Filed under: uncultured eukaryote
Lineage: Eukaryota
Description: partial 18S ribosomal RNA
Rfam family: Eukaryotic small subunit ribosomal RNA
Source: RNAcentral